GAAAAGACCUGGCAGGGGAGAUACUGAUCACAAAGGUGGUUUUCUCAGGGUUAGGCUUAUCCACUGCACUCCAGAUGUGCUGACCCCUGUGAUUUCCCCUAAUGUGGGAAACUGGACUACAUAAUUUGUGGUAGUGGGGGGCAGCACUGGGGCUUUCCCCUG
Small nuclear RNA from Phyllostomus discolor (pale spear-nosed bat), 162 nucleotides. RefSeq annotates it as U1 spliceosomal RNA. Lineage: Eukaryota; Metazoa; Chordata; Mammalia; Chiroptera; Phyllostomidae. The transcript has a single exon. The record is from RefSeq and is a predicted model, not a curated record.